UGUUCAUUCUAGUGGCAUUGUGAUAGGCCU
Molecule: non-coding RNA, 30 nt
Filed under: Mus musculus (house mouse)
Lineage: Eukaryota; Metazoa; Chordata; Mammalia; Rodentia; Muridae
Source: RNAcentral